This 343-nucleotide unclassified non-coding RNA is filed under the name soil metagenome. RNAcentral describes it as "partial contains 5.8S ribosomal RNA, internal transcribed spacer 2, and large subunit ribosomal RNA". The stretch from base 1 to 120 matches the Rfam family "5.8S ribosomal RNA", at positions 35 to 154 of the family's 154-position model. The record is from RNAcentral.
GAUGAAGAACGUAGCGAAAUGCGAUAAGUAAUGUGAAUUGCAGAAUUCAGUGAAUCAUCGAAUCUUUGAACGCACAUUGCGCCCGCCAGCAUUCUAGCGGGCAUGCCUGUUCGAGCGUCAUUUCAACCCUCGAGCCCCCCCGGGGGCCUCGGUGUUGGGGGACGGCACACCAGCCGCCCCCGAAAUGCAGUGGCGACCCCGCCGCAGCCUCCCCUGCGUAGUAGCACACACCUCGCACCGGAGCGCGGAGGCGGUCACGCCGUAAAACGCCCAACUUUCUUAGAGUUGACCUCGGAUCAGGUAGGAAUACCCGCUGAACUUAAGCAUAUCAAUAAGCGGAGGA